GACGAACGCUGGCGGCGUGCUUAACACAUGCAAGUCGAACGAUGAAGCCUAGCUUGCUAGGUGGAUUAGUGGCGAACGGGUGAGUAAUACGUGAGUAACCUACCUUUAACUCUGGGAUAAGCCCGGGAAACUGGGUCUAAUACCGGAUACGACCAAUCUCCGCAUGGGGUGUUGGUGGAAAGCGUUAUGUAGUGGUUAUAGAUGGGCUCACGGCCUAUCAGCUUGUUGGUGAGGUAACGGCUCACCAAGGCGACGACGGGUAGCCGGCCUGAGAGGGUGACCGGCCACACUGGGACUGAGACACGGCCCAGACUCCUACGGGAGGCAGCAGUGGGGAAUAUUGCACAAUGGGCGCAAGCCUGAUGCAGCGACGCCGCGUGAGGGAUGACGGCCUUCGGGUUGUAAACCUCUGUUAGCAGGGAAGAAGAGAGAUUGACGGUACCUGCAGAGAAAGCGCCGGCUAACUACGUGCCAGCAGCCGCGGUAAUACGUAGGGCGCGAGCGUUGUCCGGAAUUAUUGGGCGUAAAGAGCUUGUAGGCGGUUUGUCGCGUCUGCUGUGAAAGGCCGGAGCUUAACUCCGUGUAUUGCAGUGGGUACGGGCAGACUAGAGUGCAGUAGGGGAGACUGGAAUUCCUGGUGUAGCGGUGGAAUGCGCAGAUAUCAGGAGGAACACCGAUGGCGAAGGCAGGUCUCUGGGCUGUAACUGACGCUGAGAAGCGAAAGCAUGGGGAGCGAACAGG
RNAcentral lists this ribosomal RNA (741 nucleotides) under Rothia mucilaginosa. RNAcentral's name for it is "bacterial SSU rRNA". It matches the Rfam family "Bacterial small subunit ribosomal RNA", at positions 28 to 776 of the family's 1533-position model. The record is from RNAcentral. Lineage: Bacteria; Bacillati; Actinomycetota; Actinomycetes; Micrococcales; Micrococcaceae.